UGUGGGGCACUUUUUUGAAGG
Molecule: non-coding RNA, 21 nt
Filed under: Caenorhabditis elegans
Lineage: Eukaryota; Metazoa; Nematoda; Chromadorea; Rhabditida; Rhabditidae
Source: RNAcentral